AUUGUCGUAGCUUAAAAAAAGCACAAGAUUCUUACUCUUGGGAUGUUCGUAGAACUGGCAGUG
This 63-nucleotide transfer RNA is filed under the name Cichlidogyrus halli. RNAcentral's name for it is "tRNA-Lys". Lineage: Eukaryota; Metazoa; Platyhelminthes; Monogenea; Dactylogyridea; Ancyrocephalidae. The record is from RNAcentral.